This is a long non-coding RNA of Gasterosteus aculeatus aculeatus (three-spined stickleback), 12462 nucleotides long. Lineage: Eukaryota; Metazoa; Chordata; Actinopteri; Perciformes; Gasterosteidae. The record is from Ensembl.
UCACUGUCCUGCCCGUCUCACUUAGGAGCUGGGGAGGCCAGCACGAAUCGCAAGAGGAUGACUAGGAGAUAAAGUGUGGUGUGUCGAAUGUUUUCCUAAAGAAAAGAAGACUGAAUAUGUCCCACUCUUAAAUUCAGAUUAGUCAGGGGAAGGAAAUCUCAAUCGGUAUAAAUACGCAUUUUUGGGCAGAAUUUGGGGUAAUAAAUAUAUUUUAGGGAAAGGUCAGCCACACAUGAGGAACGUAAUCUCACAUUUAAAUGAUGUACCGGGCAACAUUAAAUAAAUCAGGUUUUUAAACGGAAUAUACUCAAUAAUUACAAUCGUCAUAAUAAUAAUAAUUCUUGAUCAUCACGUCAAAAUGUUUCGGGUACAAUGAAGUAACACAAACACAUUUCAAGAUCUUUCCAGAAAUACCCUCGAGUUAGGAUAUUCAUUUAUUCAUAAGAAAUUGCGAACCAAAGCUUUAACUCGGUUAAUAGAAUUGUAAAAUGUGAAUUGACCCACCUGCACAACGAGGAUUACUGCUGUUCAUUGAGCGGUCGGGACUCAAUUUCCUUAUUUAUAAGAGAAAAUCCGUUACUCGUUUGGUCGCAAAGAACUCCUCCUCCGCGAUGCCCCCAUGCAACUUUUCCCUGUCACCAUUUAAAAAGACACAUGCUUUCAUUUCUCUCGCAUCUGUCUCAAUUUCGAGGCGACUCCCUGGCAGCGUCUCAAGUAGAUGCGCAGAAAGAAAGAAAAUGCGCAACGGAUUAAAAGUCCGCCAGUAAACGAUUAUGCGCAUUAAAAAAACGCGCAUCUUACUCCGAUGAACUUGAGUCACGCACGUUCUCAGUCGGGCUGUUUGCACUAAAGAUUCCCCUGCGAAUUGCGCAGCUUAAAGUCCACGUAGCGGCGUCCUGCCGCAUCCGAAGUGGCAGAAACAGUUGCAGAGAAGUGAUAUUUGCAUCCCGGCUGCAGCCUGCCAGCGGGCCGCCUAAGCCCCGCCCCCCCGCUCUCACUCAGAGGUGAAGCGCUUGUGGUGGACUCGUGCAAGUGUUGCUUCAACCGCUAUUAUUCUAUUGCAAUUCACGUGCAUUCCGUUGAUUUUUAAAGAUGUUUUUUUUUUUUUUUUUUUACCUUCCUCUGGGCCUUCAAUCCGGAUAUAAAACAAACACAGGUACGCCUCUAAAUGACCUCCAGCACCUGAGAAGGAUUUUUAUAUGACUCUCAUCCCAGUUUCAUGACCCCUAUGACCUCUGACAAUAAAGAAAAACACCUUUUUCUUUCACUCGAACAACCUUCUCAAGCGCAAUCUAUGACGACGUAUACGAUGCAAUGGGGAAGGAGACAGUUCUUCCCACACACAUUGUAAUCAGGUUAUUACAUAUUUUCAAAUCCCCACAAGGUUUUAAAACAUACAGUUACUUUAUGUACGUAGUAUUCGAUGUUGUGUCACAUCACUGCAGGUUUCAAUCCAACCAAGAUUCAUGCAAUUAAGAUCAUUAUGAUGAGAUUGCUCAUUUAAUCCGCUGUUCCUCUAAUAACAAUUAAAAAAUGCAAUCAGAAUCAAAAAGAUGAAAUAUCCCAAUCUUUUUAGAACUGUUAAUAAUGUCAGCGUGUAUCCAUUGUAUAUUUGCAAAUAGCAUGGAUUUUUUCAUUUCCUUACUAUCCAACAGGGGGCCAUAAACAACACUUCUUGGAGACCUGCAUUCUUUGUUGAUAAAUGUCCCGGGCCGAACGGUGAGAAGGACUACUGGAUAAACACCAGGCGCAUUCACUUACACUUAUCCUGCCUAAGCGUUUAUCCUGAGAAUUAAGUCACCGUGCAGGCUGCUGGGUUGUUGUUUUUUGUUGCACAGUGGCCAAGAAAUAAACAGAGCCAGAGCCUUGAAAAUAACACAUUGCCACUUUAUUUUUUACAAAAGCUCGGGAUGCAGUUGGAUGUCUUCUGCCAACGCGGCAGAACGGAGAUGAUAAUUUACUUUAAAUGUCGAUUGACUGUUUCGAGCGUGGCUCACGUUGUACGUGUUUUUUAUUUGCCGAACGCGGCGACUCCCAGUGGAAAAUGACGAGGGCCUCUUCUCCUUUUGAGUUAGUUAGAAAGACAUUUAAGUGGCGAAGGCCUCUACUGCCUGCCAGGCGGCCCAGCGGAGCCCAAAACAGAGCCAGACAGGCUCUUUGUAUCAGUUGUAUGCAUGCAAAUAUUGCAAAGACAUUAAUGUCAUCAUUUAUGUCCUUACCCAAAAGCCAAGGUUAGUCACGGGAGAUGCAAUACCUCCAGGGUUCUUUAAGAGAGACAUGGGGAUCCGUGAAGGUCAUUUCAGAUAUAAGAAGAGGAAGAAACAAAGCAAGACCUACUGAUUUACUUCUGAAAUAAUGAUGAUUUUUGAUUACAUCAGUCUAAUCAGGCCUUUUUGGCUCCGUUUGUGCUGUUCCUUUAAGAGGCAUGCUUCAUGUCAAAACAUUAGUUGUGGGUAUAAUUGAUAAUUAACCCUGUCAUGCUGCUGUUGGCUAAGUGCAGGGAAAAUGUUAAGAAACAUCAUGAUCGUGGCCAAAAAGUCCAACCAAACCGUCGGUCAACAACAAGGAGAGCAGCUUUUCAUUGUGCAUGUUGUGGUAAGACGGCUUUGUUCUCAAGGCAUUCAUUUCUUCCAACACAUACCACGUAAAAAUCAUUCCAGACUUGGCCAGUCUUGCGUGAUGUGUUAAACACAACGGGUUGGAGUGCAACAGGGUCUCGCAUAUUUUCUGUGUGUGCCAUACCGGGCAAUAACAUGCCACAUACCUCUCAUGUAACAGAUUGAGUUCCUUCUCAAAGCCAGACAAAACCACAGCACAGGGUCGCUCCAAAGUCAAUUACGGGCAGAAAAUCCCCGCCCGUCCCGUCAAGAGCACAAACGCAUACCAUAGAAAUGUUAUACAUGGCCCACGCUGUCUUCGUUAAGGUCUGCGGCCCGAUGGGCCACCUGAGAUGCCGUCCCGGGGGGGUUGUAGCUGAGACUCCACCUCUAUGCCGCCAGUCCGAAAGCUGGUUUUGAACCAAUAUCAUGGCAGAUGGGGGUAAAUAUGUCAGCUUUGUAAAUGAAGGAGAGGAAAGACGGAGUGAGAAACCUCGCUAGCCGCUCUGACAUGUCAUAAUUGGUGCGAGUGGUUAUAAAGUAGUGCCGGUGUGAGGUCGAAAAUGUUGUUUAAUCGUGAUUGGCUAGAAAUUACGACCGCAUUUGUUUUGGGAAAAAAUAUGUUGAUGUACCGUUUCUUCAACCUGAUCGCUGGCCAAGUCCAAAAUAUAUGAAGCUUUGAAAAACCUGGGAUUUUGUUUAAAAAAGGUAAUCGUACCGCAUUGCAAUUCAUCACACCAAUGCGUUCAACAUCUAUCAUGAUUGGGAAAGCUUAAAUAUAAGCCUGGGUGGCUUGUUUUUCAAGUAAAAAAAAAAAAAGAUGUGUGUGUUGCUCAAAUGUUGCGGGAAGCUUUUUUCUUUGAAAAUAAAGAUUGAUGAUAUUAGAAGAAACAUGCCCAGAAAGUUGGCCGCUGCCAACAUGUGUUUGCCAUAUUGGUGCUCAGAUAUCGGAAUAUCAGUAUGAAAGUAUGUGGAGUGCCAAUCCCUCCUUCAAAAAUGAACUCCUUUAUUCUCGUCACACAAAGUUCAACAAAAUACCACAAAACUAAACUAAAUGUAUCGAAUUCCAUCCGUGCAAUUACCUCGAUUUAGAAAUGUCAAAAUUCAUAGGCUGCUAUUUUUCAAUAAGAAUUUCUCUCACAUUCACGGCAUAUUUUUCACAGACCAGACGAGGCGUCGGCAUGAAAAAUGCAAUAAAUCUAUUUUAUUCAGCAAAAAAUAAGAAGUAGCAGCCCAUUAUUUAAGAAAAGUCCAUAUUUACAUUCCCCCUCUGGACGUCUUCUCAGAUGACACAAAAACAUUUGUGUUAUUCUCAGACAAUCCGAACCAGGUGCACAGACGUUUUAACUGAGCGAAAAGUCCCAAAGUAAAUAAAUUAAAUGUACGUAUUCUAGGUACUCAUCCGAUAUCCGAUCGGGGUUUGUGUGAUACACGUUACGAUAAAGGUAAGUUUAAGUUCAUGGGCAUCAGCCAACGUGAGCUCAGACCAGGUGAAAGAGUCUCAUGACAUGAAGAUUUGAGACAUAACAUCAUCGCGCGAGGGAGUGAAAGAGGCCUGCGAGUGUUCAAGGCGAGGAGCUUGACCGCAACAGAUGUUUCGAACAGUCCAGAUGUGGGGUACAGACCUCAAACUCUUCAACUUAAGACAACUGGAUUUAGGAGCUUUCAGGCUUGAGGUUCAAAAACGUUGCCAUGUUAUCCUGUUUUCCUGAGUAGCGAAGUCGGGUAUUUGACUUUUUGCCACCCGUCCUGUGUAAAACAACGUGCAGAGUCCAAAGCCUCGGUUCGUGAGGGUCGACUGUCAACGGAUAUUCUCCUUACGUGGUCAGACGACUAUGCAACGCUGUGAAUACUUCUCCGUCACCACGGCGGAUUUAGAGGUUUAAUAAUUGGAGCGAAAACGAGAUCUUUCAGUACUUCGGGAUCGAUGAAUGCUGAGCUAAUCGUCAGUUAACGUGUACUCCAUCCAUCAUGAAAAGAAAACUCAUAACUCUAUGGUUAACCCCCCCUGUGGUGCGACUAAAACCCCGCCGAUGUGAAACAAUGCACGCGCCAAUAAUGGCUUGGUAAAACAGUGGCAUCAGUUCUGUCCGAUGUUUGAUUUUGUCAAAUUAAAUGUGAUGUGCGGCCUUGCGUGUUUAUGAUGGAGCGCCUCGAAGGAAAUCACACGCCAGCGUCUGGUCUAUUUUUCGGUGCAAUCCCUCAUAACCAUCACACAAAUAUGCACGAUGAAGUGUGGCUCUUUAAUAGCCGUAUUGGAAGGGUGAUAUACAGUAUGCGUCCAACGUGUGACCUGUGGAUGUCAGAAGAAUUAGAAGAACUGAUUUGAGCCAAAAAUCUUUGGAUACAUGUUGUUUCUUUUGGGUUUGUAACAAAACAAAGUGCUACAGAUCAAUAGAAGAAUUCAAUGCAGAUCUAAGGGUGUGAAUGUAUUGAACAUUUGACCUUUGAGGAUUUGGAGCCGGUUGCAAGUUUUCUUCUCUGUGGUGGAACUUUUCACGUUUCCUCCAGUAGAAAAACCCAAUUUCAGAGUUUUAAUAGUUUUCUAUUUUUCAAUUCAGCAAAGUAUAACGUAUGAAGCACUGAAGAUAUACUAGAUAGACAUAUUAUUUACCAAAAUGUGUGGUUUUCUAUUUUCGUGACAAACUGCUUUGACAGCAGAUGCUACAAUUUACAUUAAUGAUACAUUUACAUGUUCAGCCAAUUGAUCCAAAUAGAAAAAAAAAGAAGAAAAAAAUUACAAAUAUAAAUAAAUAUAUGUAGAGAGAGAGAGAGACAUUUUUUUCCAAUCAAUAUAAUUCACUGUAACUGGUGUUCAUCAAAAACGUAUGCAGAGCCAUUGGCGUAUCCCUCAAUAAUUGUUGGAAACAGGCCACUCCAAACUAAAUAAAUCCAGUUAGAUUCAAUCUCACUACUUAAUAUGUUCCUGAAAUAAAUUUAAUCGCCCCAUUUACACGGAUGUCAAUUUGCUGUCCAUAGAUGCCAGAUGUUAAGCGACAUCAUUUCCCAACUUAAAAGGAUACAAAUAAUCAUUAUGACGGCCCCGUAAGUGAGAUAAUGAGGAUGCAUAUCGGAGGACUCCAGUCCAGCUCCUUCUCGCUGUACGAUACUGUUUAUGUUUCACUCGACCGUGAAUCGCCUCCCACAGAUGUUCUGGAACUGUCCAGGGUGUUAAUCACAAGUAACGUCCCGCGUGAUGUAAAGGGUCCUGGCGUUGUUUCAAACCCUCCCGAGCGUCUCCAUGAGGCCGCCGUGUUUUUCUCUCCCGCGGGCUAAUGAGUUCAUUAGUGCUUGAAACCGAAAGGAGGGGCCCCCUCAAAGUGUCUAAACUUAGUAGACAAAAGACUUUAAGUACGGCCGUCCGUCACCACUGUGUGACACGCAGUCAUCCCUGCAAUAUUUUAGGUGUGAAGAAGAUUUUCCAGCACACACGGCUCCGGCUUUAAUUUACACUUUCCUUUCAAAUUGUUUAAUAAUGAUAAAAGUGGUUCUAUCGUGUCUUUCGUUCCCAUUGCUCAAAUUAGCCGAUAUUUAACGGGCAACACUACGUCGUUUUCUCAAUGCCACGGUUCCAUGCGUGUUGCCAAGCCAAGCCUUUGCCCAUUUACGUUUACGCAGGAAACCCGUAGACUCAUCCGCUUCCUUUGUAGUCUCUGUGUUUGGCGGCACGUUCCGCAGAGAAACAGUCGCUCUACUUUUCUGGUCUUAGAAGCAAAUAAACAUGAGAAUGUUUUUCUUCGUAGGGUAGGUCCAUAUUCUUUGCAUGUAUUCAUGUCUUUUCGGACUUGCUGAAAGAUGUAAUUGCCAUUUCCGACUAUAAUCCCCGUGAUGACAAAAGCCCAUGAAACCCGACGUCAACCCGUCGAGUUGGUCAGUUGAAAGACACGAGAAGCUUUGAAAUCUGUGGACAACAGCGGGACUUCCCCAUGUGGCUGAAGUGGUUGAACCGCACCAACGGAGGAGCCAGGCCAUAACCCCCCCCCGCCACAACCUCCCUCCUCCCCCCGUGUGUGAGUUUCGGGUCAAUCCCUGGUUCCUCAUUGGAUGAAGCCAAAGGAAGCCCCCCUGUGACGCGGCCGUCACUCAACCAAGGCCACGAAGCACAGCUCACCUCGACGCCGGGACGUCCGUGUCACCCGGAGAGGAGUCAGGUCAUAGUGCGACUGGAACUUGGUGGUUGUUUUACGGACCGUCGAUUCAAGCGUUUGUAACACAGCAAGUGUGCUCGCUGCUGCUGUGGUUGUGUAGUGUUGAAACCCGACACUAUGUUUGCGUAUUGUUCCCUCCGAGGGAACGGGGGUCUUCCCCCGUUGUUCCUUAUUUAGAUGAGUAAUCCUAUUGAUGUCCACAGCAGUAUUAAUGUCACAUUUUGCCUGUAGCUAAACCUGCCAGAACACCCCUGACAGCACAGUCUGAUGGAGCCAGCAUGAGGACGUCAUGUUUACAAAGGUCAGUCAUGUGACCUCCGCUCCACCUUGAAUGAGCCGAUGCUGCAGAGCUCUUCUCCUUGGAGUUGGGUUUGUGAUCCAGGGAGCAUUGAGGGAAAUGUGGAAAGAAGCCCACAGCCCCGAGGCACCAGACGUCUCAGCGGAUCCGCAGACACAAACACAUCAAAUCCAAUUUGAAUAGAUGCUUCCUCAAACAUUUACUUGAUGGUAAAUGCAUUGUACUUGUAUUGUGCUUUUCUAGUCUUCCGACCACUCAAAGUGCUGUAACACUUCAUGUCGUCAUUCACCCCCUGGGGACAGGAGCUCAGCUGUUACUGCUGUUUAUUGCCAUCAAGGUAAAUCCUAACCACACGCAUCUGAUUGUAGCUGUGGUGCACAGGGACUCAACGGGUCCUACACGAGGUAGCAUUGAGAUGGAGGUCAGGUGGAGCUACUCAACGUGUAAAAAGUAGUCACGUGAUCCAACUUAAAUCCCUUUAAAUGCAUUUAUUCAACAACAUCAGAGCGCCGCUCCCCGCGCGAAUCACUGACUUACUAAGUGGCGUUCACUCGCCUGCAACCUCAUGUGGCCCCUGGGCCCUGUUUUUUUUUUUUUAGACAUACUAGAAAUCCUCCCACAUUCUGUUGUAAUCCUUCUCAAAUAAGGAACGGGGGAGGGAGCAGCGUGGUAAUAGUUGGAGAAAAAAGCCUUGAGCUCAUCUAAGGAAACGCGUUGGUCUCAAAGGCCGCACAUUAAAACAGCACAUGACUCACAGAAAUAACCACGCAACAAAAAAGGGAGACGUGGUCUUUUAAGUUGUUUUUCAAAGCCGACAUGAGGUGAUUAUUGAUAGAUAUAUAGACUCAUUGCCAGUCAUUUAUAAAGUAAUGUAGAAAUCUCCAUCUAAUGGGAGAAAUCCACAUGAGCAAACACGACCUUUAUAGUGUCUUUGUUAUGUUUCUUCUUUUUAAACUCAGCUGUUAGGCACAGGAAACACUCGCCAUAUUCACGCUUUGUUAACAAAGCCGUGAUAAGGAAUGAAUAACAGAGAUGUGGAAACGCCGCUGCUCGUGGCCAGCAGUGUGAGGCAAGCUGCGCCUGACACUAAUCAUUUUCUCAGAUACGGGCUGUGAACCUAAAAUUUGGAUUAAUCGCUUAUCAAAUGAGUAAAAUUACCCCAAUUAUCGCUUUCUUUUCUGUGCCCUCUGAUCCUCUGAUAACCUGCAAACAUGCGCAAUUAAUAACAUGUGACAUUCCAGUGUGCUUUGUGGAGCCAAACCUCACAACAUGUACCUCUUCGUUGACUUUUGUUCGAUUAAGGUCAAUAACUGGUGUUUGGUGUAUUUUAUUGUGUUACCCACCUCCCUUCUUGUUGCACACACUCUCACAUCCUUUCCCCCCUCGUGUGUUUGUUCCCCGUCACUUCUGAUUGUGUUUCCGUCCUGAUUAGUUUCACCUGCAUCUUGUUAUCCUCGCAGGCCCCCGACCUCUCGCUCGACUUUUCCCACUUUCCCAUUAGUCACUCGCUGUUUACACGAGCCCACUUUAUCAAUGCGUAGUCUGGUGCUGCAAGGAAUUCUGGGUAUCUGUCACCUUUUGGCAACUUGGACUCUUAUUUUGCAAUCUUUUGUCCACGUUCGGGUCCGUCUCCUGCUCUCCGAGUAUUCAAAUGAUUAACACCAAAUCCUUUAAUUAACAUAUGUUCUUCCCGUGGUAAAGAAAUGCAUUUUUCUGGCUCUAAUAAGCAUUGAAUGUAUUUUUCAAAUACGUCUUUUAUCUCAGUUUACAAUCCAAGUGAAAGCAUGUUUCUUAUUAUGAGCCAGAGACGGCAAUCAGGUCUUUUAGCGGAUCAGAUUGCAGCAGCGUGCAAUCUACCUGCCCGCUGCACACACAUGACAACUUGUUAGGAUUGGAAAGGCCGUUGAAAACACACUUCAAAAUAAUCACAUUAAGUCCUUUUUUCCCUGGUGGAGCCAGGAACAGAUGUCAGAUCUGGCUGAUGAAUCGGAGCCAUCUGAAACAACUCUUUUAGCCUCAGUUCAAUAAAUACACCUUUCAACACGUUCACGGGAAAAACAUGUGGAGUCACAACACGGGUUUUCGUGGCAGCCUGAGCUUGUAACCUGCAGAGCGACGUGCCAAUUAGUAACCAUUGUGUGCGCAACUCCUAAGGGCUUUCUGCUAACCUAAUGGAAGUUUAUAUUCUCAUAAUAGUGAAAAGCAUUUCGGAAGGUCUCCAAUGACAAUUGCAGAAAACACGCGUGUAACGGCGUGUUCACGGGACAGCUGCGUUUCCCUGCCAACUAUUGAACAAGAACAGGCCUUUGAGAGCAAGUCCUCGGGCGGUUUUAUUGGUUCUGUGCUGUUUCUAACGUACACUUUGUGUUCCCAAUAUAUAUUUUGCCUCUGUGGUUGAAAUACAGGGUUUACGUGUACGUCGUCUCUGAUUCACUGUGUGUGUGUGUGAGCCGUCUCUUUUUUCAUCACCAUCUCAAUGAGGUGGAAUAGGUCAAGUGCCGCAGCGGGCGGCGUGAUUUGUUUUGCUCGUGUUGGUAUUCUCACUCUUUGUGUCUCUCCCACUCGAACGAUGUUUAGAGGCAGAAGUUAUGAAUGGGACUCGUUUCCCCAUCUGUGCGGGCAAACCGGCUGCGCGUUGGCGAUGUGAAUGAUGGUGAUUUUCUAUGUCACUCUGCAGUAAACACCAUGAUUCAACAGCCCCGCUUGACCCCCCUCCCCCCCCUACCGCGCAGAAAUCAGAGCCCGUCACACAUCCGCCGCCGACAUCUGCGUUGCCAACGCUCCUUGAAUAAACUGCCAACUUCUAGUUGAGCCUCAAAGAAUGGCCGAGCUCGUAGGUACGAAGAAGGGGAAAGAAAAGAGCGAUAUUUGGUUCCUCUCAGAGGGCUUGAAAGUCAUUUUGAGCGUCCACGAGCUGCUCGCACUCCAAUAGCUGAGUUCAUGGCCUCGUGGACUCGACGGAGGAUCAAAUAGCUGAUUGCUUGCGAGAGGAAAAAUAAAGGUGCCAGUGAGAAUCUGUUGAGGAGCCAAAGGAUCGGUUUCUACUCUCAUUUAGAGAUUCCUCUAAAUGAAAUCGUAUUGGUGUGAGAUGAACGUUUUGGAGAACUAAGCAGGAAUGCUGCCAUCGCUGUGGUUGGAUAUAAACUUGUACAACCUCUGUCAAAGGCUCCCAUGGACAAAUUACAAACACAGCUUCCACCCAAACUUCAUCACUGGCUGUUUUAUGGAAACUUAAGCCAUUGCAAACCAGCGAGGUUGUCUUGACCCGGUGCAACCUUGAAAUACGCUAAUACGUCAACCAGAGCGUGUUGUGCAGAUUAAACUGUGCAACACGAUGUUUGGAUUAAAGGUGUGGUUAAAGAACUGCAACGUUUUUAUAUAAAAUAGCUCAUGGCUCCACCAAGGUAGAAACAUAAAUGCACUUUGGUUAGAAUUCUUAAAGCGCAAUAUCUGUUUUGUAGAUUGAAUGAUCAGAUGCCAUCAACCCCCCCCCUCCCUCCCCCAAAGGGCACUGAUCUCAGGACCUCUAAAAUCCAUUCAAGUCGUCUCAAGUGGAUCCAUUAUUAUGUUGUUAAGACAUUAAAUAUCCUUCACUUCACAUGCUUACAAAUGCAGAUGUUUGACCCUACUGACCUGCGGAUUUGUAUAUUCUGAUAUUGCCAUUUCCAUCUCAGUCAAAAGGAGAGUUACGGUAAAUUUGCUCCGAUGUCCAUCUUGCAAAGACAGUUUAAACCUAAAUGUUAGGAGGCAUUGGCUGGUCUAAACCUGUGUUCAUACUUUAUUUGACUCUUUAGACGUGAACUGGGCACGUGACAGCAUAGAAACAAGGUAAGCUGUGGCAGAAGGCCUUCUCAUUUCAUUACAUGUUUCAAAGAAGACCAACGUUUAUUCUGUGUAAUAUAACAAAGCCCUGAAGGAGCUCGAGGAGCACAGCGAGAGGAAACGGGGGAUGCAUAUUCCACAGAUUCUCCAGUUCCACAUUCCUGCACUGCAAGGAGGUGUAGUUCACACACACUAUCUGCUGCCUCAAUUCAAAUAUUUUGCUCAGUUUUAAGUGCUUCUUAAUUUUUCACGGCCUUCGUCCCGUUAGCUGAUUCCUUCCAGAUGUGGUUCAAGUGGGAGGUGAGAGGGGAGAUACAGCGUAAGGGCACCCACACUAAGACGCUGACCCCUUUUUUAUGCAUCUGCAUUUCAGGUCAAAAAGACGUGACUCGUCCGAUGGACGGCGGGACGACCAACUCCAAAAUGUCACUAAAACCAGAAGCUACCUGCCACGCCCAUUUGCAUCCCCUCGGGGAGCCGUAGCCACGAUUCUAAAAGCCUAGAGAAAGAAACAAUUUAACCAGCAAUCGACAGCAUAAUGAAAACGGCACAAUUUAGCAUUUCCUCAAGUCAAAAAAAUAUCAAAUGUGCAAAGCCUCAUGUAGAGAUGCAUGCUUACAUACUUGGAAAGGUCAAGUGUUGGACACGUACGUGACCGUCCGGCCUGUCUCUCCUGAAAACAUCAGCGUCUUUGUCCUGGUAUUUCCUCAACGACGGACACACGUUGUCGCUGACGGACACACGUUGUUGGCCAAUUACUCUCGAUAAACAUUAUUUUUCUGCAUAUUUGCCUGGGAACAAUAAUGAAUGACCACGAAGACGAAAUUCCGUCACAAACGUGUCAAAAUUGCAUCCAAGGUUGGGAGACUGGAAAGAGCCGUCCAAGGAAACCUCACAUGCGUCUACAGCGCACUUAAUGGUGCGUAAACGAUGGAACGUUUUCUAAAGUAGGUGAGGCGUGAAAGAGCACAUAAAUAGGCUACCAGGCCCGGGGUUUGGGAGACGUUCAAUGCAACUUUACCCCAGUGCAGAAACGACGCUGCAGCGCGAUGAGUGUCUUCAUCUCUCCUCGUCCCCCCGGCGGACGGAGGGAGGGGAAAGUCGGGUCGACCUCAGUAACACCACAAAGCUCAGCGCAAACUGCACGGCGAGACGGCCAGGGGAGGAGGGGGGGGCAGCCAAGUCCGCUGGUUUUUUUCCGCCUGCCCAGUUAGAAAACACCGUUGGAUCGCUUCAGUCAAUUCAUCACCAAAACAGGGGGUUCGGGUCAGUUCGGCGAUAGAUCACGGAGAGAGAGAGAGAGAGAGCGCUGCGGUCGGCCCGGGCGACGCCUCGGCGCCAAAACUGCAGCCAACGGGCAAAAUGUUCCUUUUCUCUUUGGGUCAAACUGAGACAAUUAGAGAGGAAGGACGAGUAAGUGAAAGAAACCGAGGUCAAAAGCGUCCUCGAAGCGAAAUGUGCCAAAACGGGUCAAACGAACACCACAGGAGUUGAAUCAAGCAGUUAAUGGACAUGAAUCUUUUAAGAGCGCAGCCCAAUUUUCACCGCUCAUUGGACCCGGGGAGCAGAGUCAGGCACAAAGAGGAGAGUGGAGUAG